Molecule: ribosomal RNA, 433 nt
Filed under: uncultured bacterium
Lineage: Bacteria
Description: partial 16S ribosomal RNA
Rfam family: Bacterial small subunit ribosomal RNA
Source: RNAcentral
AACGAACGCUGGCGGCAGGCCUAACACAUGCAAGUCGAGCGCGCCCUUCGGGGUUAGCGGCGGACGGGUGAGUAACGCGUGGGAACGUGCCCUUUUCUACGGAAUAGCCUCGGGAAACUGAGAGUAAUACCGUAUACGCCCUUUGGGGGAAAGAUUUAGCGGAAAAGGAUGGGCCCGCGUUGGAUUAGGUAGUUGGUGGGGUAAUGGCCUACCAAGCCGACGAUCCAUAGCUGGUUUGAGAGGAUGAUCAGCCACACUGGGACUGAGACACGGCCCAGACUCCUACGGGAGGCAGCAGUGGGGAAUCUUAGACAAUGGGGGCAACCCUGAUCUAGCCAUGCCGCGUGAGUGAUGAAGGCCUUAGGGUUGUAAAGCUCUUUCAGCUGGGAAGAUAAUGACGGUACCAGCAGAAGAAGCCCCGGCUAACUCCGUG